AUUGAACGCUGGCGGCAUGCCUUACACAUGCAAGUCGAACGGUAACGGGCCUUCGGGUGCCGACGAGUGGCGAACGGGUGAGUAAUACAUCGGAACGUGCCCGAUCGUGGGGGAUAACGAGGCGAAAGCUUUGCUAAUACCGCAUACGAUCUACGGAUGAAAGCAGGGGACCGCAAGGCCUUGCGCGGACGGAGCGGCCGAUGGCAGAUUAGGUAGUUGGAGGGAUAAAAGCGUACCAAGCCGACGAUCUGUAGCUGGUCUGAGAGGAUGAUCAGCCACACUGGGACUGGGACACGGCCCAGACUCCUACGGGAGGCAGCAGUGGGGAAUUUUGGACAAUGGGCGCAAGCCUGAUCCAGCCAUGCCGCGUGCAGGAUGUAGGCCUUCGGGUUGUAAACUGCUUUUGUACGGAACGAAAAGCCUUCUUCUAAUACAGGAGGGUCAUGACGGUACCGUAAGAAUAAGCACCGGCUAACUACGUGACAGCCGCCGCAGUAA
Molecule: ribosomal RNA, 498 nt
Filed under: uncultured bacterium
Lineage: Bacteria
Description: partial 16S ribosomal RNA
Rfam family: Bacterial small subunit ribosomal RNA
Source: RNAcentral